This 90-nucleotide microRNA precursor is filed under the name Oryza glaberrima (African rice). RNAcentral's name for it is "pre miRNA MIR439". RNAcentral also lists the same sequence under 1 other name. The record is from RNAcentral. Lineage: Eukaryota; Viridiplantae; Streptophyta; Magnoliopsida; Poales; Poaceae.
AACUACCCUGUCGAACAACUCGACAGGUACCUGUCGAACUACGGUUGUUCGACAAGUACCCCUGUUGAACCACGGUUGUUCGACGAGGUG